ACAGAGGUGGCAAGUGUUGUUCGGAAUUAUUGGGCGUAAAGAGCACGUAGGCGGCCCUACAAGUCAGCUGUGAAAUCCUUCUGCUCAACGGAAGAACGGCAGUUGAUACUAUAGGGCUGGAGUGCGGGAGGGGAGAGUGGAACUUCUGGUGGAGCGGGGAAAUGCGUAGAUAUCAGAAGGAACGUCCGCGGCGAAAGGGACUCUCCAGACCGUAACUGACGCUGAGUGUGCGAAAGCUAGGGGAGCAAACGG
This 252-nucleotide ribosomal RNA is filed under the name uncultured prokaryote. RNAcentral's name for it is "partial 16S ribosomal RNA". It matches the Rfam family "Bacterial small subunit ribosomal RNA", at positions 525 to 775 of the family's 1533-position model. The record is from RNAcentral.